UAGGGAAUCUUCCACAAUGGACGAAAGUCUGAUGGAGCAACGCCGCGCGAGUGAAGAAGGGUUUCGGCUCGUAAAACUCUGUUGUUAAAGAAGAACAUAUCUGAGAGUAACUGUUCAGGUAUUGACGGUAUUUAACCAGAAAGCCACGGCUAACUACGUGCCAC
RNAcentral lists this ribosomal RNA (164 nucleotides) under uncultured bacterium. RNAcentral's name for it is "partial 16S rRNA". It matches the Rfam family "Bacterial small subunit ribosomal RNA", at positions 355 to 511 of the family's 1533-position model. The record is from RNAcentral.